RNAcentral lists this ribosomal RNA (339 nucleotides) under uncultured bacterium. RNAcentral describes it as "bacterial SSU rRNA". It matches the Rfam family "Bacterial small subunit ribosomal RNA", at positions 32 to 358 of the family's 1533-position model. The record is from RNAcentral.
AACGCUGGUCGCGUGCCUAACACAUGCAAGUCGAACGCGAAAGCCCCGCAAGGGGUAAGUAGAGUGCCCAACGGGUGAGUAACACGUGGGUGACCUGCCUUCGAGUGGGGGAUAACGUCCCGAAAGGGACGCUAAUACCGCAUAACAUGCUGCCUUUGAAAAGGUGGACAUCAAAGCCGGGGAUCGCAAGACCUGGCGCUGGAAGAGGGGCCCGCGUCCGAUUAGCUAGUUGGUGAGGUAAUGGCUUACCAAGGCGACGAUCGGUAGCUGGUCUGAGAGGAUGAUCAGCCACACUGGGACUGAGACACGGCCCAGACUCCUACGGGAGGCAGCAGUGGG